CGGGGGGGAAGGGGGAAUGGACGCUGGCGGCAGGCCUAACACAUGCAAGUCCGAGCGGUAGCACAGAGAGCUUGCUCUCGGGUGACGAGCGGCGGACGGGUGAGUAAUGUCUGGGAAACUGCCUGAUGGAGGGGGAUAACUACUGGAAACGGUAGCUAAUACCGCAUAAUGUCGCAAGACCAAAGUGGGGGACCUUCGGGCCUCAUGCCAUCAGAUGUGCCCAGAUGGGAUUAGCUAGUAGGUGGGGUAACGGCUCACCUAGGCGACGAUCCCUAGCUGGUCUGAGAGGAUGACCAGCCACACUGGAACUGAGACACGGUCCAGACUCCUACGGGAGGCAGCAGUGGGGAAUAUUGCACAAUGGGCGCAAGCCUGAUGCAGCCAUGCCGCGUGUGUGAAGAAGGCCUUCGGGUUGUAAAGCACUUUCAGCGGGGAGGAAGGCGUUAAGGUUAAUAACCUCGGCGAUUGACGUUACCCGCAGAAGAAGCACCGGCUAACUCCGUGCCAGUCCCGCGCGAGAGAAAAAA
Molecule: ribosomal RNA, 527 nt
Filed under: Klebsiella pneumoniae
Lineage: Bacteria; Pseudomonadati; Pseudomonadota; Gammaproteobacteria; Enterobacterales; Enterobacteriaceae
Description: bacterial SSU rRNA
Rfam family: Bacterial small subunit ribosomal RNA
Source: RNAcentral